CAAGGAUCCACCACGACGAGACGAGACACUUUAUUUGUGCGCUGAUGAAUAGAGCAGCCGGAGUCUACCGGCGAGUUGAUUGUGAGCAGUAAAUGAAGGACACUUUAGUUUGCCUUUCAAAUAGUUUCGAAUUAGCAAACCUGAAGAUGAAUUGAAAGUGCAGAACGACAUGCACGAUUAAAAUAAAGUACAUAAUCAUGGGUAAUGUCCGUUUUCAACAAAACUCGGAACAUCGUUUACUCAGCAGUGGAACACCAUGUGUUUUACCAUGUUUAAACGUAACAAACCAGAAAUUUUGCGUCGGUAUGUGAUAAUGGAUGAAACAUGGAUUCAUCACUUCACUCCGAAACGAUCGUCAUCUGAGUGGACAGCGACUGGUGAACCUCGUCCAAAGCGCCCGAAAGCACAUCAAUCUGGAAAAGUAAAGGCCUCAGUAUUUUUGGACGCAUAUGGUGUAAUAUUUAUCGACUAUCUUGAGAAAGGAAGUACCAUUACCAGUGAAUAUUAUAUUGUAUUUUUGGUGCGUUUGAAGGCUGAAAUUGCAAAGAAACGACCGCACAUGGUGAAGAAAAAAAACUUGUUUGAUUAAGACAACGCACCGUGUCACAAGUCCAUCAAAACAAUGACAAAACUACAUGAAUUGAACUUUGAAUUGCUCCCAAAUCCACCGUAUUCAUCAGAUUUGGCUCCCAUUGACUACUGGCUGUAAGAAAUUUUGCACGUAUGAAAGAGUUAUCGCUGAAACUGAGGCCUAUUUUGAGGCAAAAGAUAAA
This is a long non-coding RNA of Malaya genurostris, 773 nucleotides long. RefSeq lists it as uncharacterized. The record is from RefSeq and is a predicted model, not a curated record. Lineage: Eukaryota; Metazoa; Arthropoda; Insecta; Diptera; Culicidae. The transcript is spliced from 3 exons.